This is an RNA transcript of Fragaria vesca subsp. vesca, 1722 nucleotides long. It is a transcript of the gene named G-type lectin S-receptor-like serine/threonine-protein kinase B120-like, with no coding region annotated. Lineage: Eukaryota; Viridiplantae; Streptophyta; Magnoliopsida; Rosales; Rosaceae. The record is from RefSeq and is a predicted model, not a curated record. The transcript has 8 exons.
UUGAACAACUGUACCUGCAUGACUUAUACAAGCUCGGAUAUCAGCCAAGGAGGUUCUGGCUGAGCGAUCUGGUUUGGUGAUCUACUAGACAUCAGAAAGUUUCCGGAUGCUGGCCAAGAUCUAUAUAUUCGAAUGUCAGCUUCAGAGAUAGAUGAUGGUAAAGUGAAGACAGGAAUUAUAGUUGCUGCUGUGAUAGCUGCAGUGUUUUCAGGAAUGCUCUUCGUUGGCCACUACUUCCACCGAAGCAGGACCAAUUAAAAGAAAAACAAGAAGAAAAUCAAAGUAGGGAGGGGGCACAAAAGGAGGACAUGGAGCUCCCGCUCUUCAACAUAACCAUAAUAGCUAGUGCAACAGAUAACUUUUCAGAUGAUAUGAAGCUUGGAGAAGGUGGCUUUGGACCUGUUUACAGGGGGACACUAACAGAUGGAAAAGAAUUUGCUGUGAAGAGGCUUCCAAGCAGUUCUGGUCAAGGAUUUAACGAGUUUAUGAAUGAAAUAGUAAUGAUUGCCAAACUUCAGCACCGAAAUCUUGUAAAGAUUCUUGGUUGUUGCGUGCAAGAAGAAGAGACAAGAAGAGAAAAUGCUGUUGUACGAAUACAUGCCCAACAGAAGCCUAGACAACUUCAUUUUUGAUCAAACAAGGGAAGAACUGUUAGACCGACCUAAACGUUUCCGCAUCAUUUGUGGAAUUGCUCGGGGUCUCCUCUAUCUCCACCAAGAUUCCAGGCUCAGGAUUAUACAUAGAGAUCUAAAAGCAAUGUUCUCCUUGAUGAUGAAAUGAAUCCUAAAAUUUCAUACUUUGGCUUGGCUAGAAUAUUAACCGGAGGAAAUCAAACUGAAGGAAAUUCUAAAAGGGUGGUCGGGACAUAUGGCUACAUGGUACCUGAAUAUGCUGCUGAUGGGAUAUUUUCUGUUAAAUCCGAUGUCUUUAGCUUCGGUAUAUUGGUGCCGGAGAUUAUAAGUGGAAGGAGAAACAAGGGAUUUUAUCAUCCAGACCACAACAAUAAUCUUAUCGGAAAUGGUUGGAGAUUGUGGAACGUAGGAAGGCCUUUAGAAUUGACUGAUUCAUGGUUAGAGAGCUCAUGUAAUCUAUCUGAAGUGUUACGUUGCGUCCAAGUUAGUCUUUUGUGCGUGCAACAUCAUCCUGAGGAUCGGCCAAGCAUGGCGUCUGUGGUUAUAAUGUUGGGAAGUGAUAUUGCAUUAUCUCAACCUAAACAACCUGGCAUGGCUUCUUUCUGGAAAAGGAACAUGAAGCAGUCCAUUUCACUAUAGGACAUGGACAAGAGAUGGAUGCAGUAUGACCGGGGGAACCCUGAAUACCAACAAGGAAUUCUAGAUUUUUUGUUAUUUGUACUUGAACAUGCUGAUGGCAGAACUAUACACAGGUGUCCGUGUGUUGAAUGUCAUAAUACUAAGUGGAAGACGAUUUAUGAAAUCCACGAACACUUGAAUACAAGAUGUAUUAUGCGUAGCUAUACUACAUGGAGUCUACAUGGAGUCUACAUGGUGAAACAUUAGAUAAUGAACCUACCUUGGAAGAAAUCCGAGCGGGACACUUUCAGCAUGCUGGCUCAUCCAACAGUAGUUUCGACCCUUAUGUGGAUCCUUCUAUGAACAUUAUACAUGAUGUUUUUCCUUCAUUUGCUACAAGACAUGAGGAAGAGGUUGUUUACGAUACCACUGAUGCAGACCAUGCUUUUUCAAAUGUUGACAAUGAUGAUUA